UGUUACAUUGCAGUCUAUCUUAAUUUCUUCUCCAGUUUUAUGUUUGUCCAAAUGCAUUACCACAGAUUGAUAAAGAUUACUUUUUAAGAGCGUUAGUCCAGGUGUAGUUAAAACAGACUUCCGAAGAGUAGCUGGAUAUACACCACAAAACGCAGAAGAAAAUUUCCCGGGCAUUACCUCCGAAGAAGUAGCAGACGCAAUAAUUUACGUGCUGAGUACGCCUCCGACAGUACAGAUAAGGGAAUUAAUACUAACCGCAGUUGGAGAAUCUUUCCAGUGAAACUGUGCAAAACUUAACUGCUUUACACUUCUAGUGUUAUUGUUGACACUAGACUGUUCAAAGUUGACGCAAGUUAAACGACUACAUAAAAUGAGAAAUAAAAAUAAAACUAACAACUACAAAUUGAUAUAAAAUAA
This is a long non-coding RNA of Agrilus planipennis (emerald ash borer), 417 nucleotides long. RefSeq lists it as uncharacterized. The record is from RefSeq and is a predicted model, not a curated record. The transcript is spliced from 2 exons. NCBI's taxonomy places the organism in Eukaryota, Metazoa, Arthropoda, Insecta, Coleoptera, Buprestidae.